GAUGAACGCUGGCGGCGUGCUUAAUACAUGCAAGUCGAACGGAAAGGCGAUUUCGGGGGUCCACGAGCGGCGAACGGGUGCGUAACACGAAGGCGAUCUGCACUGCACUAUGGGAUAAGCAUGGGAAACUGGGACUAAUACCGGAUAGGACUACGCGAUGCAUGUCGUGUGGUGGAUAGCUAUGGCGGUGUGAGAUGGGCCCGCGGGCUAUCAGCUCGUCGGAGGAGUGAGGGCCUACGAAGACGACGACGGGUAGCCCACCUGAGAGGUGGACCGGGCACCCUGCUACUGCGAGACGGCGCAGUCGGCUACGUGACGCAGCAGGGGGGAGUAUUGCACAAUGGGGGCGAGCCAGAUGCAGCGACGCCGCGUGGGUGAUGACGUCCUUCGGGGUGUGAACCAAUGUCAGCGCAGACGUAGCGGAAUUGACGGUAUGUGCAGAGAAAGCACCGGCCAACUACGUG
This 464-nucleotide ribosomal RNA is filed under the name uncultured bacterium. RNAcentral's name for it is "partial 16S ribosomal RNA". It matches the Rfam family "Bacterial small subunit ribosomal RNA", at positions 28 to 507 of the family's 1533-position model. The record is from RNAcentral.